UGGGGAAUUGUGUAAAGGUAGCACGAAUGGCUCUGAACCAUUUAGUCGGGGUUCGAAUCCCUGUUCCCCAG
This 71-nucleotide transfer RNA is filed under the name Planctomycetaceae bacterium. Its description in RNAcentral is "tRNA-Gln". It matches the Rfam family "tRNA". From Rfam's summary of the family: Transfer RNA (tRNA) molecules are approximately 80 nucleotides in length. The record is from RNAcentral. Lineage: Bacteria; Pseudomonadati; Planctomycetota; Planctomycetia; Planctomycetales; Planctomycetaceae. RNAcentral also lists the same sequence under 1 other name.